UCCAGAGAACUUAGCAGAGAUGCUUUGGUGCCUUCGGGAACUCUGAGACAGGUGCUGCAUGGCUGUCGUCAGCUCGUGUUGUGAAAUGUUGGGUUAAGUCCCGNAACGAGCGCAACCCUUAUCCUUUGUUGCCAGCGGUUCGGCCGGGAACUCAAAGGAGACUGCCGGUGAUAAACCGGAGGAAGGUGGGGAUGACGUCAAGUCAUCAUGGCCCUUACGGCCAGGGCUACACACGUGCUACAAUGGCGCAUACAAAGAGAAGCGACCUCGCGAGAGCAAGCGGACCUCAUAAAGUGCGUCGUAGUCCGGAUUGGAGUCUGCAACUCGACUCCAUGAAGUCGGAAUCGCUAGUAAUCGUAGAUCAGAAUGCUACGGUGAAUACGUUCCCGGGCCUUGUACACACCGCCCGUCACACCAUGGGAGUGGGUUGCAAAAGAAGUAGGUAGCUUAACCUUCGGGAGGGCGCUUACCACUUUGUGAUUCAUGACUGGGGUGAAGUCGUAACAAGGUAAGCGUAGCGAG
This 522-nucleotide ribosomal RNA is filed under the name uncultured bacterium. RNAcentral's name for it is "bacterial SSU rRNA". It matches the Rfam family "Bacterial small subunit ribosomal RNA", at positions 987 to 1509 of the family's 1533-position model. The record is from RNAcentral.